UGAGAUGAGUGCAUCAAUUCA
This 21-nucleotide non-coding RNA is filed under the name Caenorhabditis elegans. The record is from RNAcentral. Lineage: Eukaryota; Metazoa; Nematoda; Chromadorea; Rhabditida; Rhabditidae.